GGAGAGAUGGCAGAGUGGUCGAUUGCACUUGUCUUGAAAACAAGCAUACGGCGACGUAUCCGGGGUUCGAAUCCCUGUCUCUCCG
RNAcentral lists this transfer RNA (85 nucleotides) under Bacteroidales bacterium. RNAcentral's name for it is "tRNA-Ser". It matches the Rfam family "tRNA". From Rfam's summary of the family: Transfer RNA (tRNA) molecules are approximately 80 nucleotides in length. RNAcentral also lists the same sequence under 1 other name. The record is from RNAcentral. Lineage: Bacteria; Pseudomonadati; Bacteroidota; Bacteroidia; Bacteroidales.